GGUGGCGGAAACCUACAUACCUUCAUAAAACGCCAGAAGAAGAACGCGUGCGACGUCACGUGAUGUCCCGGAAGUAAAACAGCUUUAGAUGAUGUCAUGAAACUUGCGACAAUUGUCUGUUCUUUUCGUUUUUAAAAAAACGAUACUUAUUCAUUUAAUUUAUUUAGAUUACAUACUGUAUACAAUGAGGAUACUGUAUGUCAUUUGACCAUCAAGACCAACUCUUUGAAUGUUUAGUGUACGUUUUGGUUCAUUUCUGUGCGCUUUUGUUUAACUCUGCUUUUGGCGCUCAUAUUUCACUGUGAAAAUGCUUUAAAACCAGUGCAUCGUAGGUAUAUGUUAAGAUGCGUUCAUGAAUAUACUGUGGCUUAGGUUUAAAAUCUCAAUAUUGUAUCUCAGAUCCGGAGUCUUGUGUCGCUGAGUUUGUCUGUCAAUGGAAAGUGAAAAACACACCGAGUGGAGUUCGGCUUUAGAUGAAGACUUAAUUCAGGAUGCCGUUUCUGCUGUGAUUCCUCCGGGUCCUUCUCCAUGGAGCCUAUCAUCCGGGCCCUGGUCCACUGAGAGCAGCGUCCCAGCAGUAUUAAAUCAAUAUGCUGAAGCGCAAAAUUACAGCAGUUUUAUCCCCAGCAAUGAAACACAAAGCCAACCCGUACAGGUCUUUAGAACCUCCUAAUGACACAUUUCACAAAAGUGAUUAUUUAAAUGUAGUUUUAUGUAGUUUGAUUGUUGUCUCACACCGUAGGCGGAGGACUGGAAUGAGGAAAGAUCUACAAACACAAAUGAGGACUGGGAAUCAGACAUGGUAAGUUUUGGUUUUGUGUGUUUGCAGGUGUAUGUGUUUGUGUGUUCUGAUGAUCGUCACAGUGUGGGGACAAAAAUCUGUUUACGGUUACAUCAUGGGGACCAAAAAUCAGGUCUCCACAAGGGAAACCCAUUUAAAUGAAUAGAGGAGCUAUUCUGAAGUUGCUGGUGAAGUUUUUUUUUUUUU
RNAcentral lists this long non-coding RNA (988 nucleotides) under Sinocyclocheilus grahami. RNAcentral describes it as "lncRNA (ENSSGRG00000003442.1)". Lineage: Eukaryota; Metazoa; Chordata; Actinopteri; Cypriniformes; Cyprinidae. The record is from RNAcentral.